UAAAACUAUGUGUAUCACAGAGUUUCUGUAAGAGUUCUGUGAAAGACACACUAUUUGUGGGUAAUGCCCAAAACCACUACUGAUACUGCACAGGCAGUAAUAUAGUGCUGAGCAGCUCACACAUAAAACAAGAAACAAGUCUUUCACGGUAAAACAAAAGCUUCAGAGAAUGUAGUAGCUAGAACCAGCAUCCAAAUGGCACACAAAUUAGCAACCAGCAGCUGCUCCUGUGUUUUCAGUAACAGCCGUGCAGCAAACUCUGACACCUUAGAGACAGAUGACAGGAGAGAAUACAGACCAGACCCCACCAGCUGAGGCUUAUCAACGGUACCUUAAUGAGAAGAUACUGAAGAGUGAUAACAAAAGUUCCUUAAUGAGAAGGAACUGAAGAGUGAUAACAGAAGUUUGGUUACAAAACCCUAUUACUUUCAGACCUAUUAUUUUCAAUGCAAUCCAUGGACCAGGCAGCAGCAUCACCUGGAGAGAAGCUUCUUGGAAAUACAGUAUGGCAAGCUCUGCCCCAGACAUGCAGAUUCAGACCCUGCCUUCUAACAAUGGCCACAGAUCAGCAGAAACAGAUCAGCAGCACCCUUUGGAGAUUGGCAUGGUAAUGAAAACCUUUCUGGGUCAGAGGACGCUGCAUUCUAGAAGAGCACCUAUUAACUUCCCUGUUCAUGUGAGCAGCCUGGAAUGAGAAAAGGAAGAAAAGGGCACAAAAUACAGAAUACCAAAACAUGGAUCCUGGUAAGCUCAAAGAACGCCGAUGGAUGAUAAGGCUCUGAAAGAUGGACAGAGGUAAUGUAUGAAGCAAUGGUAUGUGAGGUUAUUGGGCAAGUCAGAGUUGCUUCUGCCACAUCCAACAAGUGAACACCACAAGUGACCAGCCCACAUCAGUUCCUUUGAGUUCAUGGUAAGAGAUCAUUUUCCUUUGUAAAAUUCUGUAACACAUAACCAUCUAUGGCUCUUCCAUUCUAUCAAAUACCACUGGCUCUAAAACAGAGGGGGCUGGAGCAGCCCUUCUGUACUUAGAGGUACUUGAGAACUGUAUCAUUUCUAAUUAUAAGAAGAGGACUCAUUAAUUAUAGACAAGGACAGUUUGUGGAGUUCUAAUAUUUACUGUGCUCCAAGAAAUCUGUUCUAAGGACUUUGCCAUCUAAUCAUCAGUCCUCUCAGCAAUGAUAUAAUCAAAAGGAAUGUGCACACUAAACCCCUGGACUAGUAGUCAUCUAUGCUCUUCAAAAAGAUAUCCAAUAAUACAGGUGAUAUCUCCACCAAUAAAUAUAAAAUUAACAAUUUAGGCAUUCAUUGAGAAUCUAAAAUUUAUUUUAAUAGACUUCUUAUUUACUUUUCUCAUUGCUGAGACAAAAUACUCAACAUCCACAAAUUGCAAGAGGAAAAGUUUAUUUCAGCUCAGUUUGUAGAGGUUUCAGUCCAUAGUUGGCUGGCUCCAAGGCACGGAAGCAUGACAGAGAGGCUUUGCAGAGGAGAAACAGUCCAUGGUAUGGUAGACACAAAGCAGUAAGCAACAUCAGAAGAAGCAGCAGGAGCAGCAGCACCAGCAAGCCCCUCUUUCCCUUUUAUCUCACCCAGGCUACAAGCCUUUUGGGUGGUGCCAGCAAACCCAGGGUGGGCCUUACCAUUAUCCGCACUCAAACCUAUGCUAAUUCCAAUCAGUGGACUAAUUUAGUAGCACAUACCCUUAAUCCCAGUACAAGACACCCUAGAUCCAGCUAGUUCCAAAUAGCCCCAUCUAUGAGUGUGUGAGGGUUUGGAAGGACAUCUAGAUACAAUAAUAACAGAGGAUCAUAUCAAACUGUGUGGAGAACAGUAGGUUUUAUUUAUAAACAUGAAAAAUCUUACUUUUCUUUUUUUUUAAUUUUUAAGGUAGAAAUUCUGAUGAGCUUGGAUAUUCUCAAGUCUUACUUUGCUUGGAGGAUGAAGUGACACACAGAACAUUGGAAUGCUGCCUCAUUCACAUACGGCUUACCUUGCAUGCAUUCUAACAGCAAUGUGCAAGAAGCAGAGACUGGCAAAUUCACAAAUAUAUAGGGAUUUGAGAUUUCCCAUGCAAGUUAUUCCAGAAAUGCCAAGUAUUUUGUUUAUGACAAAACAAGAACUAAAAUGUUGACUGCCAUUUUCACCACCAGAGAGAAAACAGAGUGACAGGCUUUCAUGUUUUUGAUAAAAUAGGCAAAAGGGGAAUAGUCAUUAAUCUUGCUGAAGCUCUGUAAUAUAAAAUUAUUUAGGUGGCUGUGAAAGGAAAUUAAAUAUGCUAUAGAGAAAAAAAACAUAGCUUUUAGGGAGAUCUGCUGCUUUUUAAAAGACGAGUCUGUGAUUCUACAAUAAUGACAUAAAAGCCGAAAUGCUAUUUCCUAGUCUAUUACAUUUUAGCUGUCACUGAAACUAAAGUAAUGGAAA
This is a long non-coding RNA of Heterocephalus glaber (naked mole-rat), 2418 nucleotides long. RefSeq lists it as uncharacterized. NCBI's taxonomy places the organism in Eukaryota, Metazoa, Chordata, Mammalia, Rodentia, Bathyergidae. The record is from RefSeq and is a predicted model, not a curated record.